UACAUACAUACAUACAUACAUACAUGGAGUGGAGAACAGAGUAUGUGGACACUUGCAUGCAUGCCUGCCUUAGGGAAAGGGCAGGCAUUACAUGGAAGCCAGACUCCAGGGGAAGAGAAUAAAUAGCACAGGAAUCCCAGAGACAGCUAGCUUGGUAAGUUUGCCAUUUUUCCACUUACACCCCCAGGAAGUGGUAGUCAUCGAAGUGAGCUAUGCGGUAAACAUCAUCUCCUCCAACAACAGAGAAGAAAGCCCUGCCCCCGAACUCCAUUCUUUCUGACCCACUAGCCACUAAACUCAAAGUUCUUUGAGUAAUUAGAAAUUAAAAUUAAAUCAUAUUUAGAUUGCUUUUUGUUAUCCAGAAAUCGUUUGCAUUGUGCAGAAUGCAUGCAGAGUGUGCUCAUUUUAGAAACAAUGGCAUUUUUCUCUUGAGUCAUGAGUCCGAGAACAUUUUUUUUUAACUCACUAAGCCACUGCACACAUCUCUGACUCUUGCUACAGGGUGAGCAUUUGGUCACCACCCCACAGCUAUGAACUCCUGAAAUAGGCCCAGAUGGCUAAUUUUAAAUUUAAAAUUACACUUCGCUGUCUGCUUAGCUGGCCUUGGGUGUUUCUGCCUAAAGUUGCAUUAUCUGGGACUAUUAUUAUCAAAGAAAGAUAAUAAAAAAGAGAAGAGUGGUGAACUGAAGGGAAGAGGAGGGGGACAGGGUGGGAAGAAAGAGGAGGGGAGAGGUACAGCUCAUCACCGCUCUCUUGGUAAGCACUGAGCUACUAGACCCAGGAUUCUGUUUGUUAGCCACUGGACUCUGCACCGCCCAGCACGCCCUGACCCAAUAUGGCUGUUUGCCCUGGGAAGGUCGCCUGCAAUGGAGGAGUGAAGAAAAAAGACCGAGACAGAGCAAAGGGACAAAGCAGAGAGGAAGAAAAGGAGCUUAGGCACCGGGGAGCUGACUCAUGGCUUUGGAAACCAAGAGAGUCACACUCCUUCCCAAGAGUCCAAGGUCACAGGCCAAGGGCUCUGGCAGUUUUGGCCAUAAACCUGCUCCUGACCCGACCACGGUCAAGUUCAAGGGCAUCAGGAAGGCAGCAUGGAGACUGAACACAAUCCACAGGUUUCUGAGCGCCCCAUCUGUGCGCCUCUCCGUCAAAUACUGCAGCAGCUUGCAACUUAAUUGGUUUUCCCCACUUCUUUGUUUAUGCGAGAAAAUAAAAAUGAUUUGAUCCCCAAAUCGAGGGGAAAUGGAUCAGAAAUAAAGGCAGAAUGAGUCUG
Molecule: long non-coding RNA, 1270 nt
Organism: Rattus norvegicus (Norway rat)
Lineage: Eukaryota; Metazoa; Chordata; Mammalia; Rodentia; Muridae
Source: RefSeq, a predicted model, not a curated record